Molecule: ribosomal RNA, 238 nt
Filed under: uncultured bacterium
Lineage: Bacteria
Description: partial 16S ribosomal RNA
Rfam family: Bacterial small subunit ribosomal RNA
Source: RNAcentral
GAUCCUGGCUCAGGACGAACGCUGGCGGCGUGCUUAACACAUGCAAGUCGAACGAAGAGCGAUGGAAGCUUGCUUCUAUCAAUCUUAGUGGCGAACGGGUGAGUAACGCGUAAUCAACCUGCCCUUCAGAGGGGGACAACAGUUGGAAACGACUGCUAAUACCGCAUACGACUUCAAUCUCGGCAUCGAGACUGGAUGAAAGGUGGCCUCUAUUUAUAAGCUAUCACUGAAGGAGGGG